RNAcentral lists this ribosomal RNA (293 nucleotides) under uncultured eukaryote. RNAcentral's name for it is "partial 18S ribosomal RNA". It matches the Rfam family "Eukaryotic small subunit ribosomal RNA", at positions 6 to 302 of the family's 1831-position model. The record is from RNAcentral.
GGUUGAUCCUGCCAGUAGUCAUAUGCUUGUCCCAAAGAUUAAGCCAUGCAUGUCCAAGUAUAAACCACUUGUACGGGUGAGACUGCGAAAGGCUCAUUAUAUCAGUUUUAAUUCCCUUGAGAGUCUCUUUAUCAUUGGAUAACCGUGGUAAUUCUAGAGCUAAUACAUGCAAAAAGGCCGACUUUUGGAAGGCCUGUAUUUAUUAGGUAAAAACCGACGGCCCGCAAGGGCCUUGGGUGAUUCAUAAUAACUGGGCGGAUCGUAUGGCCUAGGGCCGACGACGUUUCAUUCAA